Molecule: long non-coding RNA, 1069 nt
Filed under: Androctonus crassicauda
Lineage: Eukaryota; Metazoa; Arthropoda; Arachnida; Scorpiones; Buthidae
Source: RNAcentral
GGACAAGUGACUGAGUUCAGUUUCUUAAUGGGAUCUGUGAGAAAAUUAAAAGAAAUGUAAUUGCUCAUGAUCCUAAAACUUUUGAGGAAAGCACUACUCAUUGCCUCUUGUGAGGAAAUGAUCAAACAAAUAGCAGGUAAGCUGCAACCAUAUGUAGGUAGAAUACAAAAAUUAAGUGAGGGUGAUGCUGUGAACAAGUUAUCUACAACAGAGCAAAAUACUAAUUUUAAUGAAGAGUGCUUACGGACAGCAAUAAAGCAAAUCAGCAAUAUGCGUGACUGAACCUAGAAAAAUUAUGGGCACACAACCAUCUACUAUCUCACCAUGCAUAGAUCCACCACAGGACACAAAAGACUAUAUUAUGGGAAAUCUCACACAUCUUGUAAACUGUUACAAUAUAACUGGUAUUCACAACUUUACUUUCAAGACUUGAAAGAUAUGUGAGAAGGCCCAUAUGGUGAUUUCUGCAGACUCAAAAAUUUGGUAUUUCACAAGGGAGAGAAUAUUAUUGGUAUCCCUCUUUUCAAUCUCAACAGAUUUUGGAAGGACAAUAGUGACUCCUCAGCAACAAAGACCUCCAACAACUUCCUGAGGUGGAAACCAUAGUCAAUAUCAUAACAGAAUGAAUUCUAAACUAGUGCAGUAUAACCCGGCAACAAAAUAAUUAGUAGAAAUUAACAAUAAACAAAAUACACUUCCUCAUGCUAUUAUAUCCAUCAAGGAAAAGAAGAGACAGAAUGAUUGCAGCAGAAAAGAAAAAAUUCUAUCUAAUUAAAAAGAAGGUAUGAGACAAAAUUAGCUAGGAACUCCAACCCUAGUCAAAAAUGUUUAAUUAAUGGAUGGACUUCUUAUUUAACAAUAGAUAUAGUGUGAAGAGAUUGAUUCUAACCUGUCUUGUCUAUUAUUUUAUUAUGCUCUUUUAUUGUUUAUUGUUAUAUUCAAUAUUAAUUUAACAUAUUAUAUUUUCAGACAUUUUUACUAUAGAGGUGAUUAUAUAUAUAGUAAAAUUGAAAAAGUGACAAUGCAAAGUUGCUAAUUUCUAUCAAAUAUCAAUAAUAAGACUUAUAAU